Molecule: long non-coding RNA, 1699 nt
Organism: Talpa occidentalis (Iberian mole)
Lineage: Eukaryota; Metazoa; Chordata; Mammalia; Eulipotyphla; Talpidae
Exons: 12
Source: RefSeq, a predicted model, not a curated record
AUUCCAAAAAGUCCUUAGUAACAUCUCAGAGAUCAUUAACUCAAAUCUUGGACUGUGGCUUUAGUGUAGUAUUAGGCAUCCUUGUAAAGCUAAAAUGUCCUAGAGAACAAGGCUGAUGUAUCCCUUUCCUCUGCACCUUCUGUAGCAUCUGGAGAGAAAACUGGCUCAGCAAGGACUGAAUGAGUUAUUCUUCCGCCAAAUGAACACAAAUAAACAAAAGAACAAAGGAAGCCAAAGACUUCUGUCCAACAAAGAAGUGCAGUGAGGAACUCUGAACAAGACAGCGAUGGAAGAAGGUUUCAUGAAUACUCAGAACUCAGAUAGUCUGGCUGAUAGCAGCAAGAGAAAUGGAAUUUAGGGUUCUCGAGAUAUAAAUAGGCUCAAAUAAUUACGUAACUGUGAGUCAUUAAUAUCCUUGCUAUGGCCUCAGAAGGCACGAGCGCCUAACUCUGGUUUGAAUUUACCUCUUCUUAAAGUCAAGAUUUAUGCAUCAGCCUUACAUCUUUAUCCAGGCAAUGUGGAAUGGAUUUCUCUCUAAUUCAUUAAAGAAAAAGAACAAUCAUGGAGAAAAGGAAAGGAAAAUUUUAAAUAUUCUUUUCUUCUUGUUCUUGAUUCAUUCCCAACCUUCAAGAUUUAUAUGUGAUGCUUGUUUUGCCCUGGUAGAAUAAUGAUUUCUUAAACUGCUAAUGCAAUUAUCACCAUCAUCAUCAUCAUCAAUUUCAUCAUUUUAAUUCCAUGUGAAAGGGAAGGAGAGGAGUCUUCAGUUCUUUACAACUCUCUAUAGAAAUUUGUUCAAGACCCUGAUCCCAGUGUAUAUCUACAGAACCAUACCAUGGCCUGGUGGGCCAUUUCAGGAGCCUUCAUUCAUUCAACUGACACAAGUAAAGAUGAAUAUUAUUUUUCUUCAAAGAGCUCUUAGGGAGAAGGAUAAUAAUCUGAGAUACUGGGAGGACUUAAAGAAAUAAUAAGCAAAUGCUUUCAUCAUCAUCAUCACCAUUGUCAUCGUCACCACCACCAUCAUCAUCAUCAUUCUAUCUGCGUUGUGCCCAGCACUCAAAGGGUCGAUUUUGCAUUUUAAGUCCUCCAAUAUGUUCACUGGCCACCAGAGGGCAGCAAAAAGAAGUAUAAUGGUACCAGAUGAAAGUUGGGAACUCCACAAAGGAAUGAAGAGGGCUGGAAAUGAUACAAUUGACCAAGGAGUUGAGCAAAACCAAUUAGGCUCUCACAUAGCUGCAAGGCAACUGAGUUCUGUCUUCAACCAUAUUUCCUCUCAGAAAAUGUAAAGAAGAACAAGAAGUUUCUAUGACAGCUGCAAGACAUUCUCCAUGAGCUACGGAAUGGUGGGAUCGUCACCCCAUCCAGAGAUAGAAGGACUCAGUCUUAAAGGUCACGUUAACAGGUUAGCUCUCAAGCCAAGCCGUUGGGAUCCAGGAGAAAGAAAAAGCAAAGGGGCUGGACCAGUUUACAUUUCCCACCUUCUCUGAAUUCCAUUUCCUCUACACCCUCAGAAAUACUUGUUGUUUCUGAUAUGGGUCAUUCUUACUGGUGUGAGGUGGUUUUGAUUUGCAUCUACCCAAUAGCUGAUGAUGAGCAUUGUUUUCAAAGAGUCCUAAGGGGAAUGGAGUGUGUUGAGAAUACCAUGUUGGCCACAUUUUCUUACGAUGGAAACAGCAGUAAACAAUGACUCUCCUAAGUGGCA